This 253-nucleotide ribosomal RNA is filed under the name uncultured bacterium. RNAcentral's name for it is "partial 16S ribosomal RNA". It matches the Rfam family "Bacterial small subunit ribosomal RNA", at positions 524 to 776 of the family's 1533-position model. The record is from RNAcentral.
UACGAAGGGGGCUAGCGUUGCUCGGAAUCACUGGGCGUAAAGGGUGCGUAGGCGGGUCUUUAAGUCAGGGGUGAAAUCCUGGAGCUCAACUCCAGAACUGCCUUUGAUACUGAAGAUCUUGAGUCCGGGAGAGGUGAGUGGAACUGCGAGUGUAGAGGUGAAAUUCGUAGAUAUUCGCAAGAACACCAGCGGCGAAGGCGGCUCACUGGCUCGAUACUGACGCUGAGGUGCGAAAGCGUGGGGAGCAAACAGG